This 433-nucleotide ribosomal RNA is filed under the name uncultured bacterium. RNAcentral's name for it is "partial 16S ribosomal RNA". It matches the Rfam family "Bacterial small subunit ribosomal RNA", at positions 29 to 507 of the family's 1533-position model. The record is from RNAcentral.
AACGAACGCUGGCGGCAGGCCUAACACAUGCAAGUCGAGCGAGGACUUCGGUCCUAGCGGCGGACGGGUGAGGAACGCGUGGGAACGUGCCCUUUGCUUCGGAAUAGCUCUGGGAAACGGGGAGUAAUACCGGAUGAGCGCUUAGGGGGGACGAUUUAUCGGCGAAGGAUCGGCCCGAGUUGGAUUAGGUAGUGGGGGGGGUAAUGGCCGCCCAAGCGGACGAUCCAUAGCUGGUUUGAGAGGAUGAUCAGCCACACUGGGACUGAGACACGGCCCAGACUCCUACGGGAGGCAGCAGUGGGGAAUCUUAGACCAUGGGGGAAACCCUGAUCUAGCCAUGACGCGUGAGCGAUGAAUGCCUUAGAGUUGUAAAGCUCUUUCAGCUGGGAAGAUAAUGACGGUACCAGCAGAAGAAGCCCCGGCUAACUCCGUG